Molecule: long non-coding RNA, 315 nt
Organism: Manacus vitellinus (golden-collared manakin)
Lineage: Eukaryota; Metazoa; Chordata; Aves; Passeriformes; Pipridae
Exons: 4
Source: RefSeq, a predicted model, not a curated record
CCUGCUCCCCUCAGGGCAUUCCCAUUCUCCUCAGGCAUUUCCAGCUCCCCUCAGAAGUGUUCCCGUUCCCCUCACAGCACUCCUGCUCCAACCAGGUCCAGGUUCCAGUGUUCACACUGAGGCAGCUCCCUGUAACUCUAAUGCUUCAAACCAGUGGCAUUUAAAAGUUCUCAAGCUAUGUUAGCACUACAUCCAAGCCUUGGAAAUGCCCUUUCUGCAGAUGAGAACAUCCUGAGACCAUUUUUGGAAAUCCACUGAAACUGAGUCACACCAGCAAUCCAUCUUUGCUCCACAAGAUCCGUGUUACCACUGGAC